AACGAACGCUGGCGGCGUGCUUAACACAUGCAAGUCGAGCGGUAAGGCCCUUUCGGGGGUACACGAGCGGCGAACGGGUGAGUAACACGUGGGUGACCUGCCCUCAGCUCUGGGAUAAGCCUGGGAAACCGGGUCUAAUACCGGAUAUGACUCCAUGACGCAUGUUGUGGGGUGGAAAGCCUUGUGCGGCUGAGGAUGGGCCCGCGGCCUAUCAGCUUGUUGGUGGGGNGAUGGCCUACCAAGGCGACGACGGGUAGCCGGCCUGAGAGGGCGACCGGCCACACUGGGACUGAGACACGGCCCAGACUCCUACGGGAGGCAGCAGUGGGGAAUCUUGCGCAAUGGGCGAAAGCCUGACGCAGCGACGCCGCGUGAGGGAUGACGGCCUGG
Molecule: ribosomal RNA, 390 nt
Filed under: uncultured bacterium
Lineage: Bacteria
Description: bacterial SSU rRNA
Rfam family: Bacterial small subunit ribosomal RNA
Source: RNAcentral